GCCGAACAAGUAAUAGCCUCCUCUUCCGCUCCCUUGGCGGGGCGCUCUAGCCCUCCGACCUCGCGGCCCGGCCGCCGAGCUGGCGCCUGCGCGUUGCUGCCGAGUCGUCUCCCGCCCGGUCUCUCCCUCUCUCUCUUCCCCGCCCCCCCCCUCUUCUUCUGCUUAGCUGAAGCGGCGGCGGGUCGCANCCCCCCCUCUUCUUCUGCUUAGCUGAAGCGGCGGCGGGUCGCAGGUUGAGGCGAGGCGGGCGCGGGCCUCCGCCAGCUAUGGACCUGGAGGCGUCCGACGAGACGGGCUCCACUGGAGGAGCCGAGGCGGGAGCCGGAGCCGUCACCCCCGAAGCGGGCGGUUGGGGUUCGCCGCCGGACUCGGCUGCAGGAGGAGUGCUAUGAACUGAACGGUCACUAAAUGAACUGUUGUGAGUCAAGGACUACCUACAAUAUCCAAGCGCCAUUCAUUUGCAUCCUCUGAUUUAAAGCAUCACCAUCUGCUCCUCAUCUAAGAAGGAUUCCAAGGUAGAUGAUAAUGUGUAAUAACAACUAAA
Molecule: long non-coding RNA, 544 nt
Filed under: Laticauda laticaudata (blue-ringed sea krait)
Lineage: Eukaryota; Metazoa; Chordata; Lepidosauria; Squamata; Elapidae
Description: lncRNA (ENSLLTG00000010590.1)
Source: RNAcentral